RNAcentral lists this ribosomal RNA (189 nucleotides) under Staphylococcus aureus. RNAcentral's name for it is "partial 16S ribosomal RNA". It matches the Rfam family "Bacterial small subunit ribosomal RNA", at positions 1 to 184 of the family's 1533-position model. Lineage: Bacteria; Bacillati; Bacillota; Bacilli; Caryophanales; Staphylococcaceae. The record is from RNAcentral.
UUUAUGGAGAGUUUGAUCCUGGCUCAGGAUGAACGCUGGCGGCGUGCCUAAUACAUGCAAGUCGAGCGAACGGAUGAGAAGCUUGCUUCUCUGAUGUUAGCGGCGGACGGGUGAAUAACACGUGGAUAACCUACCUAUAAGACUGGGAUAACUUCGGGAAACCGGAGCUAAUACCGGAUAAUAUUUUGA